RNA transcript from Corapipo altera (White-ruffed manakin), 9319 nucleotides. It is a transcript of the gene named two pore segment channel 2, with no coding region annotated. The record is from RefSeq and is a predicted model, not a curated record. The transcript has 31 exons. NCBI's taxonomy places the organism in Eukaryota, Metazoa, Chordata, Aves, Passeriformes, Pipridae.
GCGGCCGGGGGAGCUGCCGGGGGUGCCGAUGGAUCCCGGCGCUGAGGCGGAGCCGCUGCUGCCCCCGCGGCGCUGGCGGGCGGCCCGCGGGCUGUGGCGCUCGGCCGAGCGCGGUGCUGGAGCUGAUAAUGACCUUUACAUAAACCAAGCUGUAGUAUUUAUUGAAGAUGCAAUACAGUAUCGAUCCAUAAAUCACCGCGUGGACUCCAAAUCCCUGUGGCUUUAUCGAUGGUACUAUUCAAGGACUUGCCAGUGGAUUUUGAGUUUGACCAUCACUAUAAUCCUGGCUUUGGCCUUCGUUGAAGAGCCUUCUUCGCUCACCAUCACGUCGGAUGUGCGGUACCGCCUUCCCGCUUGGAAUCCGCCCUGUGGCCUGACCGAGAGCCUGGAGCUGCUCUGCUUCCUGGUGUUUGGGGUUGAUGUGGCCGUGAAGAGUUACUUAAUUGGAUGGAAAGAAUUUUGGAAAAACAAAUGGCUAAUGGCUUAUAUACUGACAUUAAUUGUGUCCCUGACUGAUUGGAUUGUCUCGCUGAGUUUUUUCUGCACAGAGAGUUUGAGGAUAAGAAGGAUUCUUCGUCCGUUCUUUCUCCUUCAGAACUCCUCUAUGAUGAAGAAAACAUUAAAAAGUAUCAACAGCACAUUGCCUGAAAUGGCAAGUGUUGUUCUGCUGCUGGCUGUUCAUCUGUCCCUCUUCACCAUGUUUGCCAUGCUGCUGUUUGCUCGAACAAAGGAUAACCAGCAGGAUAAGGAGUGGGUGGUGUAUUUCCGCAAUUUGCCGGAUUCACUGACAUCCCUGCUGGUCCUGCUGACUACUGCAAACAAUCCUGAUGUGAUGAUUCCUGCAUAUUCUAAGAAUCGAGCAUAUUCCAUCUUCUUCAUCCUCUUCACUGUAUUAGGCAACCUGUUUCUGAUGAACUUGCUUACAGCAAUAAUAUACAACCAGUUUCGGGGAUACCUCCUGAAAUCAGUUCAGUCCUCCCUCUUCAGGAGGCGGCUGGGAAUCCGGGCUGCCUUCGAAGUGCUUUCCACCCUGAAAGAGACUCCUGCGAAUGCCCAACAGUCAUAUGUCAGCAGUGGGGCCUUACACCAAGUGCUGCAGAAAGCUGAGAUGGAUUCUCGCUGCAAACAAGCCAUCCUGAGGUCACUCAAAAUGUGCUCCUGUGACCAACUGUCAGCUGCCCAGUUCCAGAAGCUCUUUGAAGAACUAGACAAAGACGCCAUUAAGCAACAUCCUCCCAGUCCAGAGUACCAAUCCCAUUUUAUGCAGAAAUUGCAGUUUGCCUUUGGCCAUCCCUACUUUGGCUACUUGGGGAAUGUGGUAGCCCUUGCAAACAUUAUUUCUAUCUGUGUGGUUUUGGUGAUGGAUGCAGAUAAACAGCCUUCUGAAAGAGAUGACUUCUUCCUGGGGGCCAUCAACUGCUUCUUCAUCCUGUACUAUCUGCUGGAAAUGUUGCUGAAAAUCUUAGCAAUGGGCUUGAGAAGAUACUUGUCUUACCCAAGCAAUAGAUUUGAUGGGCUUCUGACUGUAAUUUUGCUGAUUUUGGAGAUUGCAACUUUUGCUGUGUAUGGAUUUCCUCAUCCUGGCUGGAGACCCGAGUUCAUGGGCUUGUUAUCCCUGUGGGAUAUGGUGCGGCUGGUGAACAUGCUGAUCGUGUUCCGCUUCCUGCGGAUCAUCCCCAACAUGAAGUUCAUGGCUUUGGUUGUCACUACAUUGCUGGAUCUGGUAAAAAACUUAAGAGCCUUUGCAGGAAUCCUGGUGGUGGUUUUCUAUGCAUUUGCUAUCACUGGCAUAAUGCUGUUUAAAGGUGCUGUUGUUCCCUUGGGAAACACCAGUUCUGCCAACACAACAUUUGCUAAUGGCACUUUGCAGUGUGGGACCUACGAGCAGCUGGAAUAUUGGCCCAACAACUUCGAUGACUUUGCCGCAGCAGUGGUGACCCUCUGGGAUGUGAUGGUGGUGAACAACUGGCAGGUCUUUUUGGAUGCGUUUUCAAGAUAUUCAAGUCCGUGGGCAAAGAUCUAUUUUGUAGCCUGGUGGUUGAUCUCCUCUGUCAUCUGGGUUAAUCUCUUCGUAGCUUUACUUCUGGAGAACUUUAUUCACAAGUGGGACCGUCGCUGUCAUCGAGAGUCUCUUUCAGAUGUUGAAUACCAGAGGACAGUGGAACUAAUGUUCAGGCCCGCGGCCAGGAGUGCGAGCCCAGUUUCCUGCUCCCGUAGAAGGCAUGGAAGAUGGCAGUAGGGCUGCAUGUCAUCUACAGCUCUGGGGUUUUUAUCUUCCUCUUCAGCAUCACUGAAAUACAGAGAACUUUGUGCCACAGAGGAAAACUCACAGGAGGCAAAUAUUUCCAACAGGAAUGUAUUGUUCUUUGAAGAAUCCUAUCUGAGUUCUUUUGUCUUACAGGGAAAUCCAGGGUCUGUGUCCUGGAAAUGGAGAAAUCUACCCCAGUUCUUCAAGUGCUUGCACGUGUGCUGAGCUUGAGCCCGUGAAUCAUCCAUUAAUGCCGGGCUCACACAGCCCUGUUUGGCGCAUCAAGGUAGAACAAGAAGCCAAGAUUAUACAUGCUCUUCUAUCACAGGACAGUUUCACUCUACAUGCCUAGAUUCUGCAAGAAGUACUUCAUCUGUUGGGGUUUUUUUCUAAUUUUAUUUUUACAAAAAUGCUUCAGAAAAUCUAGUUCUAUCUUCAAAUCUCUGUGUAGACAAGAAGCUCUCAGAAUCUCUAUUUCACAGGUGAGGAAAAACAGUCCGAUCAAGAUUAAAAUCCCAAUUCAAGGAAAAGCAGAAACUUAAGCACAUCUUUUAAUGUUCCUGUGAUUUUGGCAUAAACUAUUGUGAAUAGUUUCUCUGGGAUGCUGUCAGAGGUGAAAAUAGAAUAUACUUUGAGUUGCAGACAGUACCUCAGCGGACACAGGAAUUUUUCGCUUUAUACUUGCUAAAAAAUGUGAUGCAUGGGAUGGUCACACAGGAGAGAGAUUUAUUUUUCUAGUUGGUUUUUUAAUUCAGUGGUUCAUAUACUAUGGUAUUGAAGCUCAUUUUGGUGUGGAGAUCCAUGCAGCUCUGAACUUUUCCUUCAGAUUUGUAGAUUUUCACGGAAGCGUGUGGUAUCUUUUCUUUGGUCAGGUGCCUUGAAAAUAAACUGGGAGAAAUAAAUAGGCACAUUUCUACUGUGGCUGUGAUAAGCAUAUGUAUAUAUAUAAUGGUAUUGUGUGUCUUGCUCUACAUAACAUUUUUAGGUGUCUGUGCAAGUAGGAGAUUUAUGAAGUGUGACUCGUUUUUCCUUCUCCCCCCUGUUCCAGUGGAAGAGCUCAGACUGCGAUGAGAAAAACUAGUACACGUUAUUAAGAAUUCUGAUAAAGUAGGCUGAAUAAAUUUGUUUUCUUUGUGAGCCUUAAUCCUGUGUUGUAUUGGCUUCUUGGACAUGGCUAAUUUAUUUGGAAUUCCAUUCUGUUCCCGACAGCAUUCCUGAUUAGCAGUUUGAUCACCCGGAGCAAAGUUACAUACCAGCUUUCAACUCUUGUAAUCUAGCAGUGUAAUUUUUUCAAAUGGACUCUUUUCUUUCCUUCUUUGCCCCAGCUCCCCUUCUUUUUGUGUGCAAAGGGACUUUAAAAGUAAGCAGGAUAACCUGCUAGUAGAAUGAAAAACUUCUUCAAAACACAAUGUAGUUUGCUGAAUGCCCGGCUUUCAUUUUUAAAUAGAAAAAUGAGGUUUGGAGCUGUGUCAGUGCAGCAUGUGAAAUGUUUACCUUCCAUCACGCACAGAGGAUAACGGUUCUUUUCAAUGACUGCGUUUUAGGGGUGGUGUGAUAUAAUCUUCAAGUUCUUUCCAAGGUCUGCAGUUUGCCAAAGCACAUUUUGCUUGUGAUAAGUUUAAGAGAGUUUAAAUUGUUGUUUAGUAAAGCUUUUCACAUCAUGGACCUUGUAGGAAAAUGGCAGUUGUGUCAUUGUUUACUUCCAUCUAAACUGGCUUAUGCUGUCAAAACAAAGGAUGCACAGGAACCCCAAAUUUAAUUGUAAACCAGAGGCAGGUUUUGAUCUGGUUUUGGUAGAGCACAGGAGGAGCAUCAUCCGAGUGAAACCAGAGGAAAUGGAGCCUGCAGCAGCCCCCCAAAUCUGCCAAAGGCGUGGAGUUACAGAAAAGAGGAAAGGGAGUUUUCCGUCCUGUGACAUUUCUGGAGGUCCCAGUCUGGUUUGUGUACAGUGAGAAGGAAAAAAAGGUUUUUAAGUCAAGAGAGAUGUGGGAAUAGCCCAGAGAUAGGUGACCACAGCACUUGUCAAAAGACUCAAACUGUGGUUUUAUGCAUGAGUGCCUUGGCUGUAUAAUGUUUGGAGAGUGUCUGUUUUGUACUGAUCUUGAAUUUAAUGGAUCUGAAAAGCAGCUCUUGACAAAUAUUUUGUCAAAACUGAAGCACGUUUGGCCAGACUUCUGUGUUUGAAAAACUGGCAUUUCGGUUGAAACACUGUUUUGUCCAAAAUAAUACUAAUCAAAUUCUCUCCUGAAUUUAUGUGAACUACUCAGCUAUUCUGAACUUUGUAACAUGUAUCCUAAAUAUUUGUUCUAGGCUUUUUCCUUUGAGUUACUAAAUAUGUUUGUAUUUUUAUGUUUGUUCACAAUUAGGUGGACAUUUUGGAUAUUAUAAAACUUUUAAUUGAUUGAUAUGACUAAGUAUCAAUGGCAUAUGUGUGAUCUAUUCUGCUACUACCAGGUCAUGUUCUAAUCACAUUCCUAGGAAGAAAUUCCUGUAAAUGAAAGGGAACCAAAAUAUCUACUCCUAAGCAUUGCCACAUCCAGCAGCAUAUGGAGGUGAUCAUGGAAUGACAGCUCCAUAACUGCAGAGGUCUCAUCAAGUCUGUAUUUUGAAAUACAGAUGUCUUCAGGUAAUGACUUUUAAGACUGAUUUAUAAGUUUUUGCUUCAUUUUCUCCUAACCCUUUCCCCUCAUAUUCAUUAUGGGGUUUUUUUCCCUGCAAUCUGUGCUCUUUCUUUUGCGAUCGAAUUUCAGUUUUGACUGUGAGGCCUUUGAGGAUGAGCUGGAGUUUUACAAAUACUUCUGGUUUUAUGGACACUGAAAUUAGUCUUGAGGGAAGAAAUACGUAAUAAAUGUAGUAACUUAUUUCUGUCCUUGUUUUUCUUGAUCAUGGAAAUGGGCAUGUUGAACUAACUGUGGUGGGAUUCUGCUGGGGAUUUUCCAGUAGAAAACCAGUGGGGCAGGUGUUGGCUUUGCUUUGGCUCAAUGCAACACGGAAUGAUCUUGAUAUGUGCGUGUUAUCACAACUUAUUUGAAGCAGGAGUUGGCUUUGAAUGUCAGGUUUUGUCCUCUAAAGCUGUGAAGACCUUGAUCUGGCUCUUUUGAACUGGCAUUUUGUUUCCAGUGUGGUGUGGAAUGCUUGUUCAGGAGAUUUCACAUAUGCAAACUGGAGCAAGGUGCCUUUUUGACUCUGAUAACUGUAGAAGGCACAUGAUUCUGAGAGAUAAGUGCUGGUCUUGAAUUUUUCUAUUUCUCUUAACAAAAGAGCUGGGAACUUCUUGUUAGCCAUGCCAACUACUGCAACUCUUUGCUGUUUCCAUUUGUAACAUAUCCUGAGUUUUGAAUGCGUGGCAAAAUGCAGUAAGUCACAUAUUCUAUUUUUUAAUUUUAAUUUAUUAAUGUUUCGGGAUAUAUUUCAAACUGAUGAGAACAGGGGGUGUUUUAUGAUUGAUUAUUGUUGUAUUCUCUGCUUUGUCACGUGUAACUUCACUUGAUAUUUUGAAAUUUUAGGAAUGUGGUGAUAUUUUAGGAGAUGGACUGCUUUGUAGGGGAACUGGAAAAUUAGAUGUGAAACCUGUUGCCUUACAUUUUAAAGUCAACAAAACUGCAUAAUACAUAAUUAUUUUUGCCAAACUACCCUUCAAUGGGCACUGAUUACCAGGAUAAUUAUGUACUAAUUUAAAGGCAAAAUAUGGAAUUUUAAACAUAGUUCCAAAUUAGAGGAUUUUUUAAUAAAUAGUUGUAACAGAACAGGGUAAUAAUGUUGGUUAUGUGAUGAAAACAUAUGUUAGUAAUAAAAUAUCACCCAUCAGGAAUACUGUUCUAUCAUGCCAUUGCUCUCUAGGGAGAUGACUAGUUGAGAAGUGAUUUUAACAAAAUGAACUCUGAAUAGAGAGGAUGCUUUUAUGGGUGAUACCACACACAUUCUUCAAAAAGGCAAAUCACUAAAAAAAUGGUGCCAGGAACAUCUGUUGUGUGAAAAAGUAAAAUUUUGGAAAAUCCAAAUAGUGAUUAUCAAUAUAUAGGCUUUGCAUAGUCCUUUUCCUCACUCAUUCCCAAAAGGCUCUACAAAGAAAGGAAGAACAGCCAUCCGUGUUAAACCGCGUUUUCCCAAACCCAGCCGUGCCAGUUUUCAUCUGGCGCGUAGAUUCGUCUUGCUUGUGCUGUGCCACGGAUUUUCUGUGGGAGGAAAUCUGCCCUAAGAAGUGAAAUCCAAGCAGGAAAGCGCUGUCCUUCCAUGCCCAGCAGCAUUCCUCCGUGUGAACAAACGCAGUCCCGCCGGGGAGUGCCAAGCCGACAGCCGUGGCAUGCGGAGCUGCCAUUCCCCGGCUUUGUGUGAGCCUGUCCCCAGCCUGUCCCGGUGCCAGGCGCCAGGGAUGUGCGCUUUCUGUUCCGGCUUUGACACCUCUCAGGGAACACAGGGCUGAGAAGCACUUGUGAGCCCCGGGGAGGAGGCACCUGUUCACUUGGCACCGGGAUGAACCCCCCAGUUCAUUCCUCGCGUGCCCUUAAGUAGCCGCCGGGCUUCUGUCUGCGGAUGGAUUGGGCUGGAGCUGGUGGCCAGGGCAUGGGAUGUGCUGGAUUACGUGACAGCCCCGCUAGCUCACGUGGGAAUUGGUUAAAAUCCUGCUGGUGGUUUCCAGCAAUCCAGCAGGAUUGCACCGGGGGGAAGGAAGAUGGUAGUCACCAAAGAUGAACUUUCAGGUGGACCCAGUGACAUCCAUCCAGGUGGACAGAUAUUGCUUUUCUGGGAAAAGGCAGAUGUCAUUGCCUCAACCAAUACAUUUGCUAUUUUAUGUUAUUAGCUAAUUAUGUAUUACUACUAUAAUUAUUAUGUUACUGGCUAAUGUUAUUAGCUGUUAUUUUACAGCUACGAAGUGAGCCAGCUGCCCAAGUGAGUAUGUAAUGUAGAGCCCCUGGCUGGAGCUGGCAGUGGUUGUGUUGUAGCAGGUAGAGCCACUGAACAGUUUGUCAAACUGUUUUUCCUGCUGAAAUCCCCUUCAGCUCUACUUGUCCAGGUCCAGGCAAGGAAUUGCUUAAACAUCUAUAAAAGUUCCUUGUUUUCUUCUUGAACUGGAUCCUGGAGUUGCACUAAUUCUGACGAGGCCUUGGCAUCAACAAGGACCCCAAGGCGGAAAGUGCGGUUUCUGGGGAAAGGAGCUUGCUGGUGGAGUAAGUUUGAAAAGAUCGUAGCAGUUCCAGUAAUUACUCAUUUCAUCAACCCAUCUAUAUUUAAAGGGGAAAAUAAAAAAAAAAACCACGCUCCUCCAGUGUUGUUUCCUGCAAAGACCAUUCUUAAGAGCUCGUUGGACAGCGCAGGACUCUUGAAGUGAUAGCUAAUUGGUGAAAGAAAGGCCCUGAUUGUCUUGAGGGAGCUGGAAAGUGCUGCGUGUGCUGCUGAAAGGGACUAGGGAGAAGGUGCCUGGUUUCGCUGAGCAGCUGCUGUUGGAGAUGUUUGGAGAUUACAUCAGCAUUGGAAAAAAGGGGCAAAAAAAAAAAAAAGUCCAACUUCACAGAGACGGAGUUUAUGGAGGUUUUUUUUUUUCCCCCCCCUUCCAAAGGUCUUCUGACAAUACUGUCAUUGUCAAUAUAAGAGUUGUUAAUUCUUUAUGAAUAGCACAUGGGGCCUCUUGACUAAAUAGUACGUUACAUGUCCCAAAUCUGUCAGCUGGACUCUUCUCUCACAUGCUAGUGAGAUCACUUUGAUUGGAAUGUCAGAGGAAUUGCUGGGCUGGCCAUGCAGAACUGAAUACUGCAUUAUAUAAUUAGAUCUCCCAGAGUAUUUUUUUUCACAUUACCUCAUUAUUCUAGCUUAAAUAUGGAAUCAGCCCUUUUGAUGAUUUUGCUGGUUGUAAUUAUAUUAAUACGAUUCAUUUUGUGGUCCUGCCUUAGUGCUUAUAUAGAUUAUAAACUGUCCCGAAGGUUUCCUGACACAAGGAAAGAGGACUGAGAGACUUCAAAAGGCUUCUUCAGAUUUGAAUUGACAAUGGGGAGAGCUGGAUAAGGUAAAUGGAGCUAGAACAGCUCUUACCUUGGGAUCUGAUGAGAGAGAAAUGACGUGUCGAGAUUGCAACUGAGUGAAGAUUCUUCAGAAAGCCACGUGCUGACAGAGGGGAAGGAGUGACAACUGACUGAGUCAAAUGACUUCCUCUCCAGCUUGGGCAUGGAUUUACUGUUGGGAACAGACUUGUGGACUUUUGCCAAUUAAAUGAUUUGGACGAGCUGGGGGGAAUCCUAUUGCUGGGCAGUCCAAGAGUGCCAGUGGCCCAACCUUGAUACAUGAGAUGUGGUGUGUGGUGCUUGCUCUGCACGUUCAGGUGUCAGCUGACGUGGAGUGAGUUCUGACACCAAAGCCCUGCAAGGUACCUUCACUUCCAGCCUUAAAUAAGGACCUUACUAGGACAUGGAAGGAUUUGACUGCAUGCCCAAGGCCAUAGUGACUUAGGAUUUUUUGGUUAACUUACCUUGCAAAAGGAAAUAAACUGUUCCAAGCAAACUGUCUCCUUUUAGAUGGGUGUUAUAUUAAGCCAAACAUCCUAUAUCUUACUACAUACCCAACUCAAUUUGACAUCUGCUUUCAAGAACUGAAUAUUCUACAGUAAAAAUAGAAAGACUGUAUUGCUUUGCCUGAGGCCCAGUCACCUUUCUUUUUUAAACAAAAAAAAAUAAAAAGUUCUUUUUUGUUUGAUAAAUUUCCAUGUCAUGUAAAAGUGAAGGUUGCCACUUUGUGUACUUAAUUCUGUAUCUCUUGGUAGCUCACAUGAUGAUGUCAGAGUUCAGCUACAGUAUUCCCAUCCAAAUUUUCUGGCCCAUUCAUGACUCUUACCUUCCUCAUCAUUAAUAACUGUUAAUCAGCCCUUAUCAUUUUGUGUUUUGAAGCCUCCUAAAACUCAGACAUGAGAACUGGGCUGUGCUUAUGCAGCAGAACAGGGUAAAUGUCAGGUCAAUUGAUUUCAGCCUCAGAUUUUAUUUAUGGUGGAUGACCAAUGUACUAAACAGCCUGCAAUGCCUGAAAUGCAUGUCAUUGACUUGAAAUCCAGCCAGAUGACAAUAAAUUAAAUGUAGAUGGAACUAA